GACGAACGCUGGCGGCGUGCUUAACACAUGCAAGUCGAACGGAAAGGCCCUGCUUUUGUGGGGUGCUCGAGUGGCGAACGCGUGCGUAACACGUGAGUAACCUGCUCUUGACUUUGGGAUAACUUCAGGUAACUGGGGUUAAUACAGGAUAGGAGACCCUGUUGCAUGGUGGGGGUUGGAACGUUUCGGCGGUCGGGGAUGGACUCGCGGCUUUUCAGCUUGUUGGUGGGGUAGUGGCUUACCCAGCCUUUGACGGGUAGCCGGCCUGUGAGGGUGGCCGGCCACAUGGGUACUGAGGUACGGCCCAGACUCCAACAGGAGGCAGAAGUGGGGAAUAUUGCACAAUGGUCGGAAGCCUGAUGCAGCAACGCCGCGGGCGGGAUGACGGCCUUCGGGUUGUAAACCGCAGUCGCCUGUUACGAAGCGGGAGUGACGGUAAUGGGUAAAGAAGCACCGGCUAACUACGUG
Molecule: ribosomal RNA, 468 nt
Filed under: uncultured bacterium
Lineage: Bacteria
Description: partial 16S ribosomal RNA
Rfam family: Bacterial small subunit ribosomal RNA
Source: RNAcentral